RNAcentral lists this ribosomal RNA (497 nucleotides) under uncultured bacterium. RNAcentral's name for it is "partial 16S ribosomal RNA". It matches the Rfam family "Bacterial small subunit ribosomal RNA", at positions 28 to 507 of the family's 1533-position model. The record is from RNAcentral.
GAUGAACGCUGGCGGCGUGCCUAAUACAUGCAAGUCGAGCGAACAGACGAGGAGCUUGCUCCUUCGACGUUAGCGGCGGACGGGUGAGUAACACGUAGGUAACCUACCUAUAAGACUGGGAUAACUUCGGGAAACCGGAGCUAAUACCGGAUAAUAUUUCGAACCGCAUGGUUCGAUAGUGAAAGAUGGCUUUGCUAUCACUUAUAGAUGGACCUGCGCCGUAUUAGCUAGUUGGUAAGGUAACGGCUUACCAAGGCAACGAUACGUAGCCGACCUGAGAGGGUGAUAGGCCACACUGGAACUGAGCCACGGUCCCGACUCCUACGGGAGGCAGCAGUAGGGAAUCCUCCGCAAUGGGCGGAAGCCUGACGGAGCAACGCCGCGUGAGUGAUGAAGGUCUUCGGAUCGUAAAACUCUGUUAUUAGGGAAGAACAAACGUGUAAGUAACUGUGCACGUCUUGACGGUACCUAAUCAGAAAGCCACGGCUAACUACGUG